Felis catus (domestic cat) is the source of this 9399-nucleotide long non-coding RNA. RefSeq lists it as uncharacterized. The transcript is spliced from 4 exons. Lineage: Eukaryota; Metazoa; Chordata; Mammalia; Carnivora; Felidae. The record is from RefSeq and is a predicted model, not a curated record.
GCGGACCACCAGGAACUGCUUAACCCGGGAUUUGUCCUGUUUAGGCAACGGGGAGGACGUGGUGGUUGUUGUUGAUGCCUUGAAGGAAACGGCAAGUUACUUAAUUACAAGGUUUGGUCUCCCUUGCCAGGAGAGACCCCCUCCAAACCCGAAACUGUACACAUCCUGCGGCAGAAUUGUCCCCCUAAAUUCCUGGACACGAAUGGCCUUGGUGGGCUGUGGAGUGUGAGUUCCUCUGAAAGGCACCGGUGUGCCUUUCUCAAUGUUCUGCUCACUUAAGUGGAUCCCUAAAUUAGACCUUAAAAGCAGCGGAAGUCCCCCAGCAGCCGGGAGGGGGAACGCCACAGAACCCACUGUGUAAUCCUGGCCAGGUUCUGGGCACGGGCUGCUUCCUGGGCUUUCCGAAUGCCAUGGAAGUGAACACCGGGAUGCCUCUUCCUGUGCCUCUGGUGUCUCCAUGCCCCCCGGUGCUAGUGGGGAAAAAGCCCCUUGGGGUCACAGUGGGCCCCUGAGGGGUCCCAGGCCAGGCCAACCGCGGGGACAGGAGCACCCCAAAGGGAGAGAGCCGUGCUAGGAAGAAGCUGCAGGCGGGCCGAGGUGCCCCUAUGCGGUGCCAGUGGGCCCGGGGUGGCGUCCCCCACAGCCAGCCCCACCCCGGGUCAGACGGCACCAGAGUGAGCCUCCGGGCUUCACGACCCCCCCCCCCCCCUCCCGCCGUGCAUCUGGACAACGACCGUCACAGAAGACGUGGAUUCUGACAAGGAUUAUUUCUGUUGAUGGCAGAGGUGCUUCUAUUAGGCACCCAGCCAGACGUGCCCCAGCAGGGAGAAUAUUCCAGACUUUUUUAGAAGGCUGCCUGAGGGGAUCUGGAUGCUUUACGGGGCCAGCUUGGAUGCUCCUCCUUGUGGCCAUUCUCUGGAGGUGAGUGUGCCAGGUUUGCUGAGCCUAGGAGUGGGCUGGAAAGCCCUCUUCCCCAGAGGUAGCGGAGGGUCUGGAUGGCGGAGGAGAGCCCAGAGGGCCGGCUCUGUGUUUGGUGAAUAAACACGGGAGUCGGGUUUCUGGCCUGUCACUCUGCAGCUUUUCAGCGAGUGAGGGGCCAGGUGGGCCGGAGGGAGUUCCCGCGGCGGCACAUGAAGAGGCCGGGGCCUGCGGGGGCUGGGGCCCGGGCAGGGCCCGCUCUGGGCAGCCAGCGGAGCGGGCCUUUGCAGGCCACGGAACUUCACACCUUUGAAAGGCUCCAGAGCGGCACGCAGAGAAAAUAAACCGUUCCUCCCAUCCGUGGCAGGUCUGCCAUCCUCAGGGGCUCCCCGUCAUGCACACGGAAACCCUGUAAAAGGGCCCAGUGUUUCCUUUUCCACUCCCCGAAAGGAUGCGUGCUGAGCCCUGAGGACUGUCGGGGGUGGGUGACAGGGCUCUAUCCCGGCCAGGGAAGCCUGGUUCCAGCGCCGCUCCUGCUGGGAUAAGCCACCCCAGCUCUCCGAGUGUUGCUUUGCACAUCUGGAAAACAGGAAGAAAAAUACCUCCCUUUGAGUGUUAUUCUGCGUGUGUCCGACGGCAAAAUAGGGCAUAUAUGUGAACGCACCUAGCCCACAGUGGAUGCUUCAUCAAUGUGUCCCUCCUUUCCCCUCCCCAUUACCUAAAGCAAGUCUGAGUUUGCCUCAGAGCCUCGGUUCCCUGCUCUGUAAAGGGGUUCGUGCCUCCCUCGUGUGGCUUCCAUGAGACAAAGGGCCUGGCUUGCAGGGGCUCUCCAGCAGAAAUUUCUUCCUUGCUUCUUUCCUCCCAUUCGCCCUCCCCUCUGGGUGUCGGGGCAUCACUUUGCAAAUGGGAAUGGCCAUGCCCCUGUAGGUCGAGAACACUCUAAGGAUGAGCGUAAUGCAAUGCCACAGCACUGAUGGGCAUCGCUGUGCCACAGGGCUGUAGGAGAGGCUAGAUCUCAAAAGACUUUAGAAGGCAGCAGAUAGAAUACAAGGAUCGGGGAGUCCAAGGGAUACGAGAAUCCAUCUGAUACUCGGGCCUUGUCUCAUCGAGCGAGGGUUUGGGCAGGAAUGGUGGGAGCCUUGGGAAGAAAGGGAGUCCAAGGAGGACUUCCUGGAGGAGUGCUCCGUCCAAAGCUGUGGAGCUUAGUCUUUCUUCCCAGGUUUAGUCCAUUGCCAAUGCUCGAGGCCCAGACUACUGCUGGCCCACAGCAAGUUGAGAGAUACCCCCAGAAGUGCCCUCUUUCUCCCACCUAGGUUUUUCAGGGCCGGGAGGAGACAGACCUAGGACCGAGAGGUGGGCAAAUGUGAGAGCAGAUCCCAGUGAGCUCUCUAGGAAGAGAGCCAGUUGUCUCCAGAGGUCGUGAGUUUCCUGUCACAGCAGGUGUCCAACAGUGGCUGGAAGGCCCUGUGAUGGUACAGAAGGGGGACCAUGGCACGAGGUGAAGGUGGGAAUAUAGGUGGGAAUAUCUGGGAGACAGGCUUUGGAGUCAGGUACACAUGGGCUCCAGUUCCAGCUUUACAGUUCACCCCUGUGUGACCUUGGGUUAGUCUCCUUCCGAAACUUUGUAAAAUCCCAAUUUCCUCAUAUGUAAAUAGGCAGUAAUUCCUACUUCAAAGAGUUGUUUUCAGAGAGUAAACGAGAUAAUGCAUGAAAAGUAUUUAGCACGGUCAGAAACAUGUGGGUUCCCCUGCCCCAGCUGAGAGUCUAAGAUCAGAGAGUCUGAAGUUUGUGGGGGUUUAAGAUCCUAUACUUUGGGAUUCUGAAAUUCUAGGAGACUGAACACUUACAUAAGCCUUCCCCUACGCUAAAUACUUUCUUAGGGACAUUACAAAUAUUCACUUGCUUAAUCUUCACAAUAACCCUAUACGACAGGUACUGUUAUUACCCAUAAUCUAUAGAUGAGGAUGUAUAGACAGAAGGCUAAGUAGCCUGCCCACAUCACACAGCUGAAAGGGGUGGGGCUGGGCCUGGAUUCUGGUUCCACUGUCUGUGCGAUAGGAUUCUAAGAUCACAAGAUUCUAAAACCACUCCAUGUUUCUUAGAGCCCGAAGAAUUCAAUAUUAUGGGGCUUUUUAUUAAUAAUAAUGAACAUCCAGGGUGAGAAGGGAAGGUUCUAGAGCAGGAGUUGUUGAACUUCCUCUGUAAAGGGCCGAUAUCUUAGGUUUUGCAGGCCACAAGUUCUCUGGCAAGAGUACCCACCUCCACAGUUGUAGCCAGUAGCUAAAUGAAGGGUCUGACUGUGUUUCAAUAAAACUUUAUUCACAAAAACAAGUGGCAGGCAGACUGUAGUUUGCCGACUGCUGUUCUCAAGACACAGAUAAUACAUCUUCUGCUCUGCUGAGCACCCUGGUGAAGGCUCCCUUCAGGGCUGAUCCUCAGGAGAUCCCCGCUCUGCCCUGCUUUAGAGAGACAGAGGGGCCUGGGAAGACCAGGCAGACUCCCGAGGGCGUGGGUGCCUCGAAUGUGGCUCUCUCUUUCUGUCCUAGAGAGGCUGUUAAAAAGGCUCCUCUCUCCAGCAGCGGAGCCUCGUUACUCAUGGGCUAGAAAACAAUGCUAACUUCCCCCAAAGCGGGAAGCAGUUGCACUUGUGAGCCAGGGCUCAUUUUGCUACAUGAAUAUUUAUGGCAUGUCCCCUAAUUAAGCCCAGAAAUAAAAUUUACCCUGCUCACGGGGGCCAGGGGAGACUGGAAAGCCGUGUCAGGAACCAGCUUCUUGUGCCUGUGAAGUAGGGUUGUCAUCGAAACAUUUGUGUCCACAGCCACUUGGUCUGGGUCAGUGUCCAUAGGAGUAGUGGGGGUGGGCGUUCCCAGGAAGGUCAAGUUCCCGUGGUGUGGUCACAUGCUGGUGUGGGGGCCACCUGGUGGGUGACCAUUGCCCCAGAUCUGCAUGGGGUGACACAGAGGGGUCCUAGCCCUAGCAAUAUUAUUUUUCUUUAGUCGGGAUGACUCAGGUAUUUUGUGACUGGGCUUCCAAGGUCACUCUAGUGACAAGAGCUCAGAGAGGGAGGCCCUGGCUGGGUCUGAGUUCCUCCUCUGAUGCUGAUUGUGUGGGACCUGGGCUGCCCCACCAGCCUCCCCACCCUCUCUGUGAAGGAGGAAAUCCUCGGGCCACAGGAUCCUGGAGUUCUUGCUGAGAACCACGGGACGUGACAGCAGGGAAAGCAUUAUGGGGAAUUGUUCCCACCACGGUUCUGGGGUUUCUUUUACCUAAAGGCACUCCUUCUCUCAAACCUGGGAAAGGAGGAAAGCUGGCUCUGCCCAGCCUUGAGUAACCUUGAGGGUUUCCGGAAACCAUAAAUCUCGGCUUUUCCUUCAGGGGUCCUAUCUCCAGAGAGCUGCCUGGGCCUCAUAUCCUUUUCCGAGGAGCCAAUAAACCAAGCAAAUACCAUAAAGCUCUUCACUCCAGCCUGAGCUCUGCUUGGAGUCAGACCUGUAGUCCAGAAGCCGGCUUCAGAACACAACCAUCAGGUUGACCAGGAGUCCUCCCCCCUUCCCUUCCAGAAUGUAGCUUGCCUUUGACUUCUCUCUUCUGUCAGCUUUUCAAUAAUUUCCCUCUUAUAAUUGUUCACAGCAGCGGAGAGGUCCCACCUGUGCCCCUGCCUCCACCUCCAGGCUGCUGGUGUAUACUGGGAUAAGGAGGGAGGAUGCUUUCCUAAGGUCACAGGACAGUGGGAGGAAAGAUCACAGCUUCCUCUGGCCCACCGCAACUACAGGAACCGCUUACUGCCAUUCACAUCUGCCACGCUGUCUUCGCUGAGCAAGGAUGCCGUGUUCUUCUUACUGGUUCGGAGGUUCAGUGCAGAACACUUAAGCAGACGUGUGCCUUUGAGAAAAGUCACUUUACUUCUCUGGGCUUCAGUUCUCUCAUCUUUAAAACGGGAGUUAUCACGCUCCCCACUCACCUAUCCCCUCUGCUCCUUGCUAGGAUCAAAUGAGAUGAUGAUUAAGAAGGUGCUUUGUCAGCGAAUGCUUUUGCAUCUGAGAGAGUAAGCGUUAAAGUCAUCCCUGCAGUGUCAUCAUUAUUUGAUGUUUCCUCUCCCUCCGCCCAGCCGGAGGAUCUCCCGUGCCCCCAGAGACCUAAGUCCAGGAGCAAAUCUGUUGGUCAGGGGCCCCGAGGGAGGCCAGGAGCUCUGCUGGGAGACUGGAGAGGAACUAGAGGCUGAGUACACUUUGUUCUUGUUCAGGUCUAAGCCUGCCGGCCAGAGCCGGGCACCACACGGUCCACACCUCCUCGUUUAGUGGUCAGACGGGCUCCCAGGUGAGUUCAUGGGCCCUGGGUGUCCAGGCUUGGGCUCUGCCUACCCAGGCUUACACAGAAACCCCCACUCCACCUGAGAGGACACAGGAGGUUCUGGUGGGUCCAGACACCCAGCUCUCUGCCCUAAGCACUCUCCUGAUUUCCACCAGCUCUCGUGUUUGAGGAGGGAAAUGUGGUCUACACACUUUGGUUGAACUGCACAAAAGCUAUCACGAAGCUUUGGAAGAGCCAAUUGUGCUGCGUGUCCCGUUGGGGAAUCUUAGGCCUCUUUUGAAGGCCUUUUUCUCCCCUUCGGGAAAACAGGGAAUCAUGCCGCCCCAGGAGCAACCAACUUGAAAUGUUUAGUGCUUGCUUGUCCUCCCCCCCUGCCCCCCACAAUUGGAAAAGGCCCAAGUCGGUCUCCGCCAGAGCACAGCAAACCCUUACGCCUGGCAAUUAAAGCCCUCCAUGAUUUGCCCCAAGCUAUCUUGAUAGCAGGCAGCCCCUAGCAUCCAAUGAGGCGGGGGCCAUUUGCAGUCAGAACCCACCCGACUAUGAGCUUUCUUGCAGCCUCUGUUUACACUGUUCCCUCUCGCUGGCUGCAUUUCAUCCCCACCAGUCCUGGAAUUUUAUCCAUUCUUUAAGAUCCAGCUCCAGCCCAGUCUCUGCCUUCCCUUGAUCGUUCUAAAUGAACGCAUUUCUGGCUGAGGAUUUGGUCCUGAGUGAUGACAGUAAAUGUUACAGAAGAACGAGUAAAUGAAUGGAUGGAUAGGAUGGAUGGGUGAGGUUUGACAACACACGAAGGAAUGAAUGUGCGGUGAACGGGUGGAUAUGGGCGUCCAUUUACAAAGCACGUACUAUGGGCCAGGCAGGGGCCCAGAGGCUGAUGUGAGCUGUGAAUAAGACGUGCUUUCUGUCCUCAUGCCCUUACCUUUGAGCGGAGGAGUCAGAGAGGUGCACAAUCCAUUACUUAUUUAGUUAGCCUUGUGAUAAAAUGCCAUGAGGGAGGAAAAUUAAUAAGUAAAUGAGUGAAUGUGUGAGGAAUGAGUGAAGACAGGAAUAAGCAAACAGAAUAAGGGAGGGAAUGAAUGUGCAAAUGGAUCCUGAGGAGCAUAAAUGAAGGAAUGAAGGCAUGAUGGAUGAAGGUUAAUCUUACCAGGGCAAGAAUCCAUGCCACGUGACCUGGUGUUUAUGGGCCCGAGGCCUAGAGGCCAGGGUUGCCCAAAGUCAGCCCCUCUCCUGCUUCCCUGGGGGUGGGGACAGCAGGCAGUGAGAGGGGGAGCCAGGCCUUGUGCCUCCCCAGGUAGCACCAUUCUUGCUAUCUAAGCACCUCCAGAAUGGAAAGUCCGUCUUGGAAAGGGCCGAAGACUUCAGCAUGUGGAAUCUAGGGCCUUCAGGAAGGUCUGAUUUUUGCUCAGUGCAUGGAAUGAACCUCAAAGCUUUUGCAGUCACACCCAAUGCCGCAGUACCCUCUGUGGUGAGAAAUCAGGGUCGGGAGGGGGAGGGGUCCGCCCAAGGCACACCAUCAGGGCCCUGACUGCAAGGCGCCUUAAGGAGUCUUUGCCGGGACCAUCAAAGGCCCUUUUUCAUCUCUGACCUUGCCUAAUCCUCUCCCCCGUGAGCCCCCCUCCAGCUCCCUGGCCCCCUCCCUGUCCGACACACGCAGCCUCUGCUCAGCUCGGAGCCUUUGGGCUCCUCGUUCCCUCUGCCUGGGAUGUGCUCCCAGACAUCUGUCAUCUGGCCCUCUCACUUCCUUCAGGACUAUUCUCAAAAGUGACCCUAAGUCCUUCUGUGGCCAUCGUAUCUGUAAUUUUACCCCUGGCUGCUUCCUUCUGCAUCGUCUUCCCUAACUUUGAUUUUUCUUUAUAGCAUUGAUCCUUACCUGACACACUCUACAUUUUUCUUAUUUGUUUUGUUUUGCAUCUCUUUAUCCUCCCAGAGGGCAGGGACCUUGCAUCGCUCUGUCCACUACUAUCCCAGCAGCAGCAAUGGAGGCUGCCACUAAACAUGUUCUGCCCGGGGAAAUGAAGCAAAGGCUCAGAUCCAGCCUUGCCUCUCCAUCCAAAACCCACGGCCACUGUCUUUUCUUGCCUGGACACUGCGACAGCCUCCUCCCUGACCCCUCCCUCAGCCUCUUCCCUGACCCUGGCCUCCUCCUGACCCCUAGCUGCCUCUUUGGCCCAGAGUGAUCUUUCCUCUGUGACAAAUAUGACCAUAUCAUUCCCCUUCUGGAAACUCUUUACUGUUCCCCUCUCUUCUUUCUUCUUGACUCUGUCUUUCCCGACCUUGAAAACUAAAGAUCCAAGAUAACAUAGGAGAAGCGUCUGACGCAUGGCACUGAAUAAGCGGUAGUUGCCGUCAUCCCCCAAAUACUUGGGCACCCAGGUGGAGGGUGCGACGAGGGGGCAGUGGACUGUUUUAAGGUGUAGUGUGUGGAACAGCAUGGACAAGCACAUGGGAGUGGCAGCAGUGUGUCACGAACAGAGGAACUGUCGGUAGGCCGGGCUUGUUGGCACAGUGAUUUCAGUAGAAGAAUCUUGACCACUGGGAGGGAGAACGGGUUGGGUCAGAUCCCAGAAGGUAUUGACUGCAAAACUGAGGAGCUCUGCUUAUGCUGCAGACUGUAGGACACCUCUGUGAGCAUCUUCAACAAAAUUCAACACGUUGCCCAGCACUGGUUAGGAGUCAAGUGUUACAGUGGGCACUUUCACAGGGAGUCUUCAGUAGGAUAUAACAAUCCUGUGAAAUCUGUAUCAGUGUUCUCAUCUUACAUAUGGAGAAACCAAAAUCCAGAAAGGUUGGCUAACUUUCCCGAGGCAACCUACAGCGGAGGUUUGAACCCAGGCCUAGGUGACCCGAAAUCUUAGUAUCUAUUUUUAUCAUUCAGAGGCCUCACACUCGUCAAGUGUUUGUUGGUUGAAUGCAAGCCUUGCCACAGGGUGACCCCAAUAACCCGGGGGCUGGUGACACUUAACCCCAACAGCCUUUCUGGUUCCCACAACAGCCUCCAUAGCUCCAAGCCGCGAAUCGGGCCUUCAUACAGCCUUUUGUGGACUUGGGAGUCAAGAAGAGAAUUCACAGUACUUUGGAAAACACAUUUUCUUUUAAAGAAGAAUUUUUUGUUUUCAUUUCAAACAGCCCUGGCUGGUGAUGAGUGGUGAGGAGAGGUGCCCUGUUUUCCAUCCUAACACCUAUUUCCAGGUGGGGGCAGGGAGGGCUCCAGCCCGAAAUGUUAUUUCAAAACCUUUCCGGGCCUUGCAGCUCCAUUUCCAGGCCACGUGCUACAAAGAAAAGCACGAUUUCCCAUUACGUCGUGUUGCCCUUUCUGGUCUGAGCACCUUUCAAAGCGGGAAGAGCCGGUCCGCCCCAGCGCACCCCCUCCCGUCCCCGUACAUGGAGUCUCACCGCCUGAUGGAGGGCUGGGAUAAACGGCCUUGCCGGGCAGCCGAUGGCCACACUCCUGAUAGGCCUGACUGCCAAGAGCAGCAAACUCCCAGCCCUUGAAGAGAUAGCUAGAAGCCGAGACCCGGUGUGAUGUGAGAGCUCCCUGCCUGCUCCCUGCCAUCUGAGGCGCAUUCCAAAGGAAGCAAGCCAGCGAGGUCUUGUCUUCUGACGAGUGCCGACAGAGACGGAUGCCGCACUCCCUGCCAGGGAGGGCCACGUUCAGACACUCCCAGAUAGCCAGCUGCCACUUUGUUAGCGGCAAACAUCCCCAUCUGAACCAGGCUGGGAAAGAAAAUAUUUAUGCUUGCCUGUCAGGAAGACCUUCAUUUUUCUUCCGAGGGAGCCAGCCAGGGUGCUGGUCCAGAGCUGAAAGAAUGUGACAUGUCUGUAGGGCUGCUCCAGGCCCUUCUCCGCACAGGCUCGAUGAAGACUCCAGAAUAUUCUCAGGGCAGCUCUGGACAGGCACAAGAGGGGCUUCAGAAGAGAGGGGCGGGGGAGCCCAGGAGAGGUGGGACCAUGCAGCCGGAACCCUCCCCGGGCCCCGUUGACCUGGAAAUGAGGGAACCUGGGUGUGGGGUGUGGCGGCUACAGUUAGAGAUCAGGCCCAAACGCACCACUAAAUGAUCUCAUUAUUAAUUCAAAACAUGUAGCUGUAUUAAUAUGAAAAGUGACUUUGUACUGAGAGUCAAAUAAUCUUGUAUUCCAGAAAACGCUAACGCUGGCGCUAAGCCUUGCCGUUUA